Molecule: ribosomal RNA, 590 nt
Filed under: uncultured bacterium
Lineage: Bacteria
Description: bacterial SSU rRNA
Rfam family: Bacterial small subunit ribosomal RNA
Source: RNAcentral
UCCUACGGGAGGCAGCAGUAGGGAAUCUUCCGCAAUGGACGAAAGUCUGACGGAGCAACGCCGCGUGAGUGAUGAAGGCUUUCGGGUCGUAAAACUCUGUUGUUAGGGAAGAACAAGUGCUAGUUGAAUAAGCUGGCACCUUGACGGUACCUAACCAGAAAGCCACGGCUAACUACGUGCCAGCAGCCGCGGUAAUACGUAGGUGGCAAGCGUUAUCCGGAAUUAUUGGGCGUAAAGCGCGCGCAGGUGGUUUCUUAAGUCUGAUGUGAAAGCCCACGGCUCAACCGUGGAGGGUCAUUGGAAACUGGGAGACUUGAGUGCAGAAGAGGAAAGUGGAAUUCCAUGUGUAGCGGUGAAAUGCGUAGAGAUAUGGAGGAACACCAGUGGCGAAGGCGACUUUCUGGUCUGUAACUGACACUGAGGCGCGAAAGCGUGGGGAGCAAACAGGAUUAGAUACCCUGGUAGUCCACGCCGUAAACGAUGAGUGCUAAGUGUUAGAGGGUUUCUGCCCUUUAGUGCUGAAGUUAACGCAUUAAGCACUCCGCCUGGGGAGUACGGCCGCAAGGCUGAAACUCAAAGGAAUUGACGGA